This is a long non-coding RNA of Mangifera indica (mango), 697 nucleotides long. RefSeq lists it as uncharacterized. The transcript has 4 exons. The record is from RefSeq and is a predicted model, not a curated record. Lineage: Eukaryota; Viridiplantae; Streptophyta; Magnoliopsida; Sapindales; Anacardiaceae.
ACAUAGACUUCUCUUUUUUGAUAAAUUUCUCAUCUUUGCUGCGAUAUAUUCAUUUUAUGCCUUGAGUCUUGUUUUUUAAUUUUUUUUAUUUUCAAUAGAUAGAAAAUGGAUUCACUGUCUAGAGUGAUAAGAGUUUAAAUACUAUUGCUGGCCUCUUUUCUAUUUGCUUAAUUAUUGGGACAAAUCUCAAAUUGUUUUUUUCUUGAUGACAUUAAUUAAAUAAUAAACCCAUAAGAGUGUAGGGCUGUGAUUGGAUCCUCGAUUUUAUGAUUUUGUGUUAUAAUUUGAUAAACCCAUUAAUUAAAUUUGGCAUUGUUUGUGUGGAUGCUUUGUGGAGUCUUAAACACUAUUGCUGACCUUCUCAUACCAGUUUGUGUUAUUAACUCUAGUCACGAGGCUCUGAUUCGUCGUUUUCAGCUAGCAUUUUCGUUGCAAAGAUCGCUCUCACCGGAGGAGCAUUGUGAUUGAAUCCUUACCAUUCAGAGAAUCGUGCACCAGUUCUCUCUUCAAGAUAUUAAAGGACUUCUUUUACAGGGUCACUCCUACCAUCAUCUCGCAGGUCCCUCUUCACCUUGGCAACUUCUAUAGUUCUAUUUUCGUCCAAAGCUUAUAAUAUUCUUCCUCUUGUUAAGUGUACCAGAGAGACACUCACAGAGAAAAACGUAAGUGGCUACUGUUGAUGAAUUUUAACCUGUGC